RNAcentral lists this ribosomal RNA (424 nucleotides) under uncultured cyanobacterium. RNAcentral describes it as "bacterial SSU rRNA". It matches the Rfam family "Bacterial small subunit ribosomal RNA", at positions 356 to 795 of the family's 1533-position model. Lineage: Bacteria; Bacillati; Cyanobacteriota. The record is from RNAcentral.
GGGGAAUUUUCCGCAAUGGGCGAAAGCCUGACGGAGCAAUACCGCGUGGGGGAGGAAGGCUCUUGGGUUGUAAACCUCUUUUCUCAGGGAAUAAGAACUGAAGGUACCUGAGGAAUCAGCAUCGGCUAACUCCGUGCCAGCAGCCGCGGUAAUACGGAGGAUGCAAGCGUUAUCCGGAAUGAUUGGGCGUAAAGCGUCCGCAGGUGGUUUAUCAAGUCUGCUGUCAAAGAGUUUGGCUCAACCAAAUAAAGGCAGUGGAAACUGACAGACUGGAGUGCGGUAAGGGCAGAGGGAAUUCCUGGUGUAGCGGUGAAAUGCGUAGAGAUCAGGAAGAACACCGGUGGCGAAAGCGCUCUGCUGGGCCGUAACUGACACUGAGGGACGAAAGCUANGGGAGCGAAUGGGAUUANAUACCCCAGUAGUC